Molecule: long non-coding RNA, 340 nt
Filed under: Solanum tuberosum (potato)
Lineage: Eukaryota; Viridiplantae; Streptophyta; Magnoliopsida; Solanales; Solanaceae
Description: long non-coding RNA (STUB_LNC002311)
Source: RNAcentral
CCCUUUCACUUUCAUGGCUUCCAAACUUCACUUUGAAGAUUAACAUAACAGUUGAUGGUCCCAAUCGAGAAAAUGAUCAAAAUAGUCCUUAAUGUAUAGGGUUUGAAUUAUUUUGAUCCUUUAUCUAUACCAUCUUAUCAAAAUAGUCCUUAAUGUAUACAUAAAAAGUAUCAUUUUGAUCCUAACCCUAAAAAUUAACUGAAAACAUCAAAAAAGGGUUAAGUUUAACGGUGGGUCCCACACUCUUCUUCCUCCCUCUUUCUUUCCCAUUGCUUCUCCUUCAUGUUAAAAAAAAAGAACAUAUAAAAUGAAAGAAAAAGUCCCAAUUAUUAUCUCUAAA